UACGUAGGGUGCAGGCGUUAAUCGGAAUUACUGGGCGUAAAGCGUGCGCAGGCAGUUUCUUAAGUCAGAUGUGAAAGCCCCGGGCUUAACCUGGGAACUGCGUUUGAAACUGGGAGACUUGAGUGUGGCAGAGGGGGGUGGAAUUCCACGUGUAGCAGUGAAAUGCGUAGAUAUGUGGAGGAACACCGAUGGCGAAGGCAGCCCCCUGGGUUAACACUGACGCUCAUGCACGAAAGCGUGGGGAGCAAACAGG
This 253-nucleotide ribosomal RNA is filed under the name uncultured bacterium. RNAcentral's name for it is "partial 16S ribosomal RNA". It matches the Rfam family "Bacterial small subunit ribosomal RNA", at positions 524 to 776 of the family's 1533-position model. The record is from RNAcentral.